AUCCUUCUGGAAAACGAUAAGCGGGUUUUCACACAGUUGUGUGAUAUGUGCGGUCUGACCUUGUUAUGACUUUGCUUGUUGUCCGUCUGACC
This is a small nucleolar RNA of Spea bombifrons (plains spadefoot toad), 92 nucleotides long. RefSeq annotates it as small nucleolar RNA U13. The record is from RefSeq and is a predicted model, not a curated record. The transcript has a single exon. Lineage: Eukaryota; Metazoa; Chordata; Amphibia; Anura; Pelobatidae.